GGCCGCGGGGCGGCAGGGACGACAGGGUAGCCGCGGGCGCGGGAGAUCAGCCGCCUCCAGACCAUAUGUGGGGGGAAGGAGGGCUGCCGGCGGGCAACGGAGACAGCGCUGCUGGUGGUGCGUGGGGGCUUGUGACGAUGGAUGGGAUGGGAUGGAUGCUUGGAAGUAGGAAGCGGAGGAGCAAGAGGAGUGCAACUGCCAGCAGCCAGCUCCGUCUGGAUACAUGAGCGCUGAGGUCUUGAUCUGAUCUGAUCUGCUCGACGGGAGUGAGAGGCGGUGGCGGUGGUGGGUGAGAGAGAGGUGUCGGGUGCCGGGGAGAAGGCUGCGUCGGCGAGCGCGGGCG
This 343-nucleotide long non-coding RNA is filed under the name Hordeum vulgare. RNAcentral describes it as "long non-coding RNA (HVUL_LNC018947)". The record is from RNAcentral. Lineage: Eukaryota; Viridiplantae; Streptophyta; Magnoliopsida; Poales; Poaceae.